This 67-nucleotide transfer RNA is filed under the name Neocrepidodera sp. BMNH 848121. RNAcentral's name for it is "tRNA-Val". Lineage: Eukaryota; Metazoa; Arthropoda; Insecta; Coleoptera; Chrysomelidae. The record is from RNAcentral.
CAAAUUAAAGCUUUAAAAGCAUUUUAGUUACAUUAAAAAGUUAGUUGUAUUAAUCAAUUUAAUUUGA